Non-coding RNA from Malassezia obtusa, 93 nucleotides. Lineage: Eukaryota; Fungi; Basidiomycota; Malasseziomycetes; Malasseziales; Malasseziaceae. The record is from the annotation of a GenBank genome assembly.
GGUCUACUGGCGCAAUGGUAGCGUAUCAGCCUUCUACGGAUUGCCAAGACGAAGCUGAGCUGAGGGUUGCGGGUUCGAGCCCCGCGUGGACCU